AUUUUCAACAGAACAGAGCUGAUCAAUCUCCCCGGGUGCGAUGCCUCCCCACUUACUGAUGUCCGAUGCCGAUUUGGUGGCCAGGACAGCAUAGCAACCCUUUGCAGCGAACCUGAAGGAUUUGGGGCAAUAGAAAGUAUGCGGUGACGUUGGUUGCAGUAGUUUGCAAACUAUCCUCUCGGUACAGAUAGAAGAAGCAGAUCCUUUGCAUAAUUUAUUCAAGCCACACAUGCAUCACAGUAGAUUCUCGCUAAGUCUUCCUUCAUCCUAAAUCUCCGCUCACGAUGGUCCCACAAAAUCCUUAUUUCAAAGAAUUGUUCAACUUCCUUAACUGUGAUUAGAUGAGUAGUUUUGAAAGGAGGACCCAUAAGGUGGGCACAUGUUAGUAUCCAAAUAUGCUCGUUGACAUCUUUUAUAAUGAAACCCGUUGAACAGUGACUUUCUUAACUUUCCUUCUCCCUUUCAAGGAUUCUCUCUGUAUCGUCACAUGGAAUUGUAUCGAUUGCAUUCCACCGUUCAUACACUUUAGCAGGUCCUUAGGCAUCAGCUCAACAAAGAUUGCAGACCCCUCGAAACUCUCUAUAGACCCAUUCCAUAGUUCAUUCAAUCGGAUAAGCAGAUCCCGUCAGCUUCUGUCGCAGUUGGCUAUUUCUUGUUCUCGAUCACAUAGCCUUCAGCGUCGAAGCGAUUGAAAAGGCUUGAUUUGGUUUGCAUUGUUGUUGCCUUGCAGUUUUGUGAGAUGGUCAGGCUACUGAAUCUCUGUUGGACGCCACCCCCAAAGAGCAAUGAACUCGCGUCCAAUUCUGCUUUCAUGUGGAGAUUGGGUGCCAGAUCCAUUCAUCCUUGGCCUUUCUUGCAAUGCACAUUUGUACUCUCUAAUCGUCAUGCAAUCACCGAAUACAAUUUAACGGUGACAUGUUCUAAUGGAUUGAACAUUGAAUACUGUCAGAACUCAGAAAUAUUUCCCCUUCCACAGGAAGAAGCCACAGAGCUCUUGCUCACAUCUACGGCCUGCCCAAGGCGCACUACAUACAUCCCACACUUUUUACUUUAUUUAUAUAUAUAGAUAGAUGGAGACAGCGACUCUUUUGCUAUUAGAACCACAUGAACUCGACUAUUUCUCAAAGGUUUUCUGAUGCCAAAUAGAACGCUUUUGUCUGAAUCUCUGUGUUACCAAGUCUCUGCAAAAAAAGAAAAAGAGAGAGAUAUUUCUCCACGUCUGAAAUUACAGAGUUCUGCAGCACAUGGAAUCAGAUACAGUUCGUCAAGGGAAGCAUUUGCUGGUAUUUCUUUCUUUUGGAAAAGGAAGAAAUCAUUUGGUUCUGGGCAGAAGCUGCUUCUCUGAAGCUUCCUUCUGUCAUAGCAUAUCGCUGCUUGAGAUCGCAGCGAUUAC
Molecule: long non-coding RNA, 1393 nt
Filed under: Setaria italica (foxtail millet)
Lineage: Eukaryota; Viridiplantae; Streptophyta; Magnoliopsida; Poales; Poaceae
Description: long non-coding RNA (SITA_LNC001832)
Source: RNAcentral